GACUCUUAUCAUGAUUGUUUCUGAUGUUGCUUCUGUGUUCACAUUCUUGUCUUCAGAGCCCUGCGUGUUUUUCCUACAUAUGCUUUCCCACAGGGACAUUUGAUCAAAUAUACCUAAUUAAACAAAUAUACAUAAUA
Molecule: long non-coding RNA, 137 nt
Organism: Alosa sapidissima (American shad)
Lineage: Eukaryota; Metazoa; Chordata; Actinopteri; Clupeiformes; Clupeidae
Exons: 3
Source: RefSeq, a predicted model, not a curated record